GAUCCCAGGCCGAGUUUUCGCUUUUAUAACGGCUAGGCGAACAACUGGGCCUGGUACUAGUUGUCUGCGCAUGCGUCAAUCGUUCGUCAGAUUCUGACGAAUGGAUAUUCUCGUUCACUUUCGUGACAUUUAUAUUCGUGUACUAUAGUGUACUAGAAGUCAGUUCCCGUUUUAUCAUUAUUGGAAUCGAUUGGAAUGGCUCUUAGCUGAAGCUUCUCUCUUCUCUGAAGCUUAUUCUGAAGACUGAACAACAAGGGAAGAGGUAUAAAGCUUUGUCAAGCUUGUUAAGGUCAGAUAUUUUUGUGUGGGCCCUAUGGCCGGCUAUGCUAUCAAGUCUUGUUCAUGUUUGGCAAGAAUGUAGGUAGACUAUAGUUUCAUCAUUAAGAUGAUGGAUCAAGUGAAGAGUGUGAGCUAGAGAACUUGGUGCUGCCAUCAUCAGCUCGUCGACAAUGACACUAUAACCGAGAAAUUUAAUAUGUAUAGAUCUACACGUAUUUAAAAUGUCUACUUCUCUGUACAGGAGCAAUGGCUAAUAUCCAGCUAUCCCAACAGUGCUGCUCCUCUUGGCUAUACUAACGGACGAGACUGGACAGUUUGAGACACAGGACUGGAGUAUGACCUGCUCAUUCGAGCGUUGCUUGUGUAGCUCAGAGACAUCAAGAGCAUCUACGUUUUCUCAAGCAAUGAGUUACGAGUUGGGGCCUAGAAUCAGAGAAGUCCAGCAGCCUGCUAAAUCUUUUUGAAACGUAAUUUGAAGGCAUUCAAUCAUCCUGAAGUUGCCCUGGGUCACUGUAAUUGUGCUGCAGCACAACUGGCAACUCCCCAGGCCUUUGUGAAGCAGCUCCCUAUGUGCAUCUUUUGUGUACUCACUCUGUGCAUUUUCUGUGUACAAAUUUCCAUUAUUGAUUUAUUAAAUAUUUUUGCCGACCACAAA
Long non-coding RNA from Halichondria panicea, 934 nucleotides. RefSeq lists it as uncharacterized. Lineage: Eukaryota; Metazoa; Porifera; Demospongiae; Suberitida; Halichondriidae. The transcript has 2 exons. The record is from RefSeq and is a predicted model, not a curated record.